RNAcentral lists this ribosomal RNA (373 nucleotides) under uncultured prokaryote. Its description in RNAcentral is "bacterial SSU rRNA". It matches the Rfam family "Bacterial small subunit ribosomal RNA", at positions 524 to 896 of the family's 1533-position model. The record is from RNAcentral.
UACGGAGGGGGCUAGCGUUAUUCGGAAUUACUGGGCGUAAAGCGCGCGUAGGCGGUUAUCCAAGUUGGGGGUGAAAUCCCGGAGCUCAACUCCGGAACUGCCCUCAAAACUGGAAGACUAGAGUUCGAGAGAGGUAAGGGGAAUUCCUAGUGUAGAGGUGAAAUUCGUAGAUAUUAGGAAGAACACCAGUGGCGAAGGCGCCUUACUGGCUCGAUACUGACGCUGAGGUGCGAAAGUGUGGGGAGCAAACAGGAUUAGAUACCCUGGUAGUCCACACCGUAAACGAUGGGUGCUAGUUGUUAGGGGGCACAGUCCCUUAGUGACGCAGCUAACGCAUUAAGCACCCCGCCUGGGGAGUACGGUCGCAAGAUUA